RNAcentral lists this ribosomal RNA (419 nucleotides) under uncultured bacterium. RNAcentral describes it as "bacterial SSU rRNA". It matches the Rfam family "Bacterial small subunit ribosomal RNA", at positions 30 to 453 of the family's 1533-position model. The record is from RNAcentral.
CGAACGCUGGCGGCGUGCUUAACACAUGCAAGUCGAACGGUAAGGCCCUUCGGGGUACACGAGUGGCGAACGGGUGAGUAACACGUGGGUGAUCUGCCCUGCACUUCGGGAUAAGCUUGGGAAACUGGGUCUAAUACCGGAUAGGACCACGGUCUGCAUGGAUUGUGGUGGAAAGCUUUUGCGGUGUGGGAUGGGCCCGCGGCCUAUCAGCUUGUUGGUGGGGUGAUGGCCUACCAAGGCGACGACGGGUAGCCGGCCUGAGAGGGUGUCCGGCCACACUGGGACUGAGAUACGGCCCAGACUCCUACGGGAGGCAGCAGUGGGGAAUAUUGCACAAUGGGCGCAAGCCUGAUGCAGCGACGCCGCGUGGGGGAUGACGGCCUCGGUUGUAACCGUACUUUCUAGCAGGGACGAAGGGU